AACGAACGUUAGCGGCGCGCCUAACACAUGCAAGUCGCACGAGAAAGGGCUUCGGCCCCGGUAAAGUGGCGCACGGGUGAGUAUCACGUAGGUAAUCUGCCCUUGAGCGGUGGAUAACGCUCCGAAAGGAGCGCUAAUACGCCAUGAGACCACGGCCUCUUCGGAGGCUGCGGCCAAAGCGGGCCUCUUCAUGAAAGCUCGCACUCGAGGAUGAGCCUGCGGCCCAUCAGGUAGUUGGUGGGGUAAUGGCCUACCAAGCCUAAGACGGGUAGCUGGUCUGAGAGGACGGUCAGCCACACUGGAACUGAGACACGGUCCAGACUCCUACGGGAGGCAGCAGUGGGGAAUCUUGCGCAAUGGCGAAAGCCUGACGCAGCGACGCCGCGUGAGCGAUGAAGGCCUUCGGGUUGUAAAGCUCUGUGGGGAGGAACGAAUAAGGGCUGGCUAAUAUCCAGUCCGAUGACGGUACCUCCUUAGCAAGCACCGGCUAACUCUGUGCCAGCAGCCGCGGUAA
This 514-nucleotide ribosomal RNA is filed under the name uncultured delta proteobacterium. Its description in RNAcentral is "bacterial SSU rRNA". It matches the Rfam family "Bacterial small subunit ribosomal RNA", at positions 29 to 523 of the family's 1533-position model. Lineage: Bacteria; Deltaproteobacteria. The record is from RNAcentral.